UUAUAAAAAAAAAUUUAUUAAGAUUCUAAUAAACAAACAAAACUUACUAGGAGGAUGAUGAGAUACUUGUUCAGCAAUAAAUGAAAGCUGAUUUUCUUUGCACCAAGCCACUCCUGACUUACGACCUGCAUGGAAACUGCAUAAGUACCAACGAACUACUUGAACCAUCCUAUCUUUAGGAGUAGGCAUAUCUGCUAUGCUAAAACAUAAAAUAUUGUAAAAUAUUGUAAAAUAUUGUAAUAUAUUAAAAGUUUCAAUAAAUUUGUAAAAAAUUUUUACUAAA
Molecule: long non-coding RNA, 283 nt
Filed under: Apis dorsata (giant honeybee)
Lineage: Eukaryota; Metazoa; Arthropoda; Insecta; Hymenoptera; Apidae
Description: uncharacterized LOC102672850
Source: RNAcentral